This 253-nucleotide ribosomal RNA is filed under the name uncultured bacterium. RNAcentral's name for it is "partial 16S ribosomal RNA". It matches the Rfam family "Bacterial small subunit ribosomal RNA", at positions 524 to 776 of the family's 1533-position model. The record is from RNAcentral.
UACGGAGGGUGCAAGCGUUAUCCGGAUUUACUGGGUUUAAAGGGUGCGUAGGUGGGCAGGUAAGUCAGUGGUGAAAUCUUCAAGCUUAACUUGGAAACUGCCAUUGAUACUAUUUGUCUUGAAUUAUCUGGAGGUAAGCGGAAUAUGUCAUGUAGCGGUGAAAUGCUUAGAUAUGACAUAGGACACCCAUUGCGAAGGCAGCUUACUACGGAUAUAUUGACACUGAGGCACGAAAGCGUGGGGAUCAAACAGG